Pteronotus mesoamericanus is the source of this 129-nucleotide small nucleolar RNA. RefSeq annotates it as small nucleolar RNA SNORA30/SNORA37 family. The record is from RefSeq and is a predicted model, not a curated record. The transcript has a single exon. Lineage: Eukaryota; Metazoa; Chordata; Mammalia; Chiroptera; Mormoopidae.
UUAGCACUUUCACAGGCCCCCCCUCCGGACAGUGGGGAUGGGAUUUGGUAGCUGGUGCUGAAAGAAAACCCUUGAGCGCGUGCUUGCCUGGGACUGUGCCAGUGGCAGCUGUCACUCAGUGGCACAGAC